GGUACACGUUAGUCAAAAGGCUGAAAACCGCUGCUUUAGAGUGUUCUCAUCGAAAGUAUCCUUCCACUAAGGAGAUAUCAAAAUGGGAAAACUUGAGCUGCUAAAGAAGGAAAUCCUCCAUGUCAAAAUGCGAUUUAUCAGGAAGAGGAAUUUUUAUGGGCAAAAUGAUCGAAAUGACUUCAAAUAGAUUACCUGCCUAUGAAAAGAACUAUUUUAUCUGAAUCAGAAGGAUGUUGAUCAAAACAGGUGUCUUCUUUUCAUCCUAGUCCAAGACGCAAUGCAGUUGCGGCUUUCCGUCUGUCUACAGGACAUGAUUGCCUUGCCACCCACCUGCACAGCCGCAUUUCAAGCGAUCCUAUUGCUCACUUUUGUGAUCCUGGAGAAGAAACGGACAGGGACACCUACUGCGAUGUGAGGCUCUUCGUGAUCUUAUAAAAAAGUCGAGGUACUGGGAGGCAAGAAACGCUCUUUAG
This is a long non-coding RNA of Stegodyphus dumicola, 473 nucleotides long. Lineage: Eukaryota; Metazoa; Arthropoda; Arachnida; Araneae; Eresidae. The record is from RefSeq and is a predicted model, not a curated record.